GGACGAACGCUGGCGGCGUGGAUUAGGCAUGCAAGUCGGACGGUAGGGCUUUAUCGUAAGAUAGAGUUUGAGAGUGGCGAACGGGUGAGUAACACGUAGGAAUCUACCCUUAAGACGGGGACAACCCAGGGAAACUUGGGCUAAUACCGGAUGAGAGUGCGAGAGAUUGCAUUUAAAAGGAUGGCGAAAGUUGUCGCUUAGGGAUGAGCCUGCGGUCUAUUAGUUAGUUGGUGAGGUAAGAGCUCACCAAGGCGAUGAUAGAUAGGCGGCCUUAACGGGUGGUCGCCCACACUGGGAUUGAGAUACGGCCCAGACUCCUACGGGAGGCAGCAGUCGAGAAUAGUCUACAAUGGCCGGAAGGCUGAUAGUGCGACGCCGCGUGAACGAGGGAGCCCUUCGGGGUGUAAAGUUCUUUUCUAUACGAGCAGUGCUAUAUAUAUGGAUAGUAUAUAUAGAGGGAUAGUAGUAUAGGAAUAAGCAACGGCUAACUCCGUGCCAGCAGCCGCGGUAACACGGGGGUUGCGAGCGUUGUCCGGAAUUACUAGGCGUAAAGGGCAGGUAGGCGGAUCUACGAGUUUUUUGUUAAAGGCUACGGCUCAACUGUAGUAGAGCAGGAGAUACUGUAGGUCUGGAAUGCGGUAGGGGAAGACAGAAUUCCUGGUGUAGCGGUGGAAUGCGCAGAGAUCAGGAGGAAUACCGAAGGCGAAGGCAGUCUUCUAGGCCGUAAUUGACGCUUAACUGCGAAGGUGUGGGGAUCAAACAGGAUUAGAUACCCUGGUAGUCCACACAGUAAACGAUAAUCACUAGAUGUCGGGUUCUAUAUGGAUUCGGUGUCGGAGCUAACGCGAUAAGUGAUUCGCCUGGGGAGUACGAUCGCAAGGUUGAAACUCAAAGGAAUUGACGGGUCCCCGCACAAGCAGCGGAGCGUGUGGUUUAAUUCGAUGCUACACGAAGAACCUUACCUGGGUUUGACAUAGAGGUAGUAGGGAAGCGAAAGCGGACCGACCCUUCGGGGAGCCUCUACAGGUGUUGCAUGGCUGUCGUCAGCUCGUGUCGUGAGAUGUUCGGUUAAGUCCGCUAACGAGCGCAACCCUCGCUGUGUGUUACAAGUGUCACACGGUACUGCCGAUAUUAAGUCGGAGGAAGGUGGGGAUGACGUCAAGUCAGCAUGACCUUUAUAUCCAGGGCUACACACACGCUACAAUGGCCAGUACAAUGGGUUGCCAAGCCGCGAGGCGGAGCCAAUCCUAAAAAGCUGGCCUCAGUUCAGAUUGUAGUCUGCAACUCGACUGCAUGAAGUUGGAGUUGCUAGUAACCGCAGGUCAGCAAUACUGCGGUGAAUACGUUCCCGGGGAU
RNAcentral lists this ribosomal RNA (1356 nucleotides) under uncultured bacterium. RNAcentral's name for it is "bacterial SSU rRNA". It matches the Rfam family "Bacterial small subunit ribosomal RNA", at positions 27 to 1381 of the family's 1533-position model. The record is from RNAcentral.